UUUUAAAGAGAGUUUGAUCCUGGCUCAGGACGAACGCUGGCGGCGUGCCUAAUACAUGCAAGUCGAACGAACGGAGGAAGAGCUUGCU
Molecule: ribosomal RNA, 88 nt
Filed under: Listeria monocytogenes
Lineage: Bacteria; Bacillati; Bacillota; Bacilli; Caryophanales; Listeriaceae
Description: partial 16S ribosomal RNA
Rfam family: Bacterial small subunit ribosomal RNA
Source: RNAcentral